Molecule: long non-coding RNA, 248 nt
Filed under: Ananas comosus (pineapple)
Lineage: Eukaryota; Viridiplantae; Streptophyta; Magnoliopsida; Poales; Bromeliaceae
Description: long non-coding RNA (ACOM_LNC018522)
Source: RNAcentral
UGUAUAAUUUUAAGGAAUCUAUAGCAGUGCUAUGAAGGUUAAUAAAAAACAAUUUUAAUAAAUUUUUUUUUUUGAGAGAUAGAUAACACGCUACCCAUUUCGUUUAUUUCAUUUAGAAAUAAACUUACUAGAAAUGUGAGUCAACUAGGAUUCGAACUUGGGACCUCGGGUACCAACCACCAAGUCCUUUGCCACUUGCUCCAGGGACGGUCGGUAAUUUUAAUAAAAUAUGGGUGAGAAAAUGGGAG